AACACAGGUGCUGCAUGGCUGUCGUCAGCUCGUGUCGUGAGAUGUUGGGUUAAGUCCCGCAACGAGCGCAACCCUUGUCCUUAGUUGCCAUCAUUCAGUUGGGAACUCUAAGGAGACCGCCGGUGNCAAACCGGAGGAAGGUGGGGAUGACGUCAAGUCAUCAUGGCCUUUAUGGCCAGGGCUACACACGUGCUACAAUGGCAAGUACAGAGGGAAGCCAACCGGCGACGGGGAGCUAAUCCCAGAAAACUUGUCUUAGUCCGGAUUGGAGUCUGCAACUCGACUCCAUGAAGUUGGAAUCGCUAGUAAUCGCGGAUCAGCAUUGCUGCGGUGAAUACGUUCCCGGGUCUUGUACACACCGCCCGUCACACCAUGGGAGUUGAUUGCACCAGAAGCAGGUAGCCUGACCGCAAGGAGGGCGCUUACCACGGU
This 432-nucleotide ribosomal RNA is filed under the name uncultured maize root bacterium Zmrc204. Its description in RNAcentral is "bacterial SSU rRNA". It matches the Rfam family "Bacterial small subunit ribosomal RNA", at positions 1031 to 1463 of the family's 1533-position model. The record is from RNAcentral.